RNAcentral lists this unclassified non-coding RNA (630 nucleotides) under Hevea brasiliensis (rubber tree). Lineage: Eukaryota; Viridiplantae; Streptophyta; Magnoliopsida; Malpighiales; Euphorbiaceae. The record is from RNAcentral.
AAGACUUGGUUCAUCCUCUUUACAAGUUCAAUCUCUCUCUCUCUCGCCUUUCCUUUAUCAACGGAAAAGAUAUGUUGUCUCCUAGAGAAACAAUUCACUACCCUUUCAAAUCCUGGAAAUUCCUGGUUUUUCCUUCUCUCAAAACAAGUGAUAUCUUCUCCUUAUUCGUAAAAGCAACUCUUCUUGUUGGCACCGUUGGUUCAAUCUCUCUUCUUUUAUACUCUGUUUUCUCUAACCAAUCUCAGUGGGCGUCUUGUCCGGAAUGCGAUCGUGUUUUACUAUCUGGUCACCGGAAGUUCAACAAGAGUAAUAAUAUUUCUGGUGGUAGCUAUCAAGAAACAAAUAUAUCCCAUAUUUUAUUUGGUAUUGGUGGCUCAUCAAGGACAUGGAAUCGGCGUCGGCACUACUGUGAGCUAUGGUGGAAGCCUGAAAUCACCCGAGGGUAUGUUUGGCUCGACGAGACGCCUCCAGAGAUGGAGCCAUGGCCGAAUACUUCCCCUCCUUAUAAAGUCUCAGAGGACACUUCGAGGUUCAAGUACAGCUGUCGGUACGGUUCUCGCUCUUCUCUGCGCAUUGCCCGUAUUGUUAAGGAAAGUUUUGAGCUAGGAUUGGAUAACGUGAGGUGGUUCG